Molecule: ribosomal RNA, 262 nt
Filed under: uncultured soil bacterium
Lineage: Bacteria
Description: partial 16S ribosomal RNA
Rfam family: Bacterial small subunit ribosomal RNA
Source: RNAcentral
AGAUUGAACGCUGGCGGCAUGCCUUACACAUGCAAGUCGAACGGCAGCACGGGAGCAACCCUGGUGGCGAGUGGCGAACGGGUGAGUAAUAUAUCGGAACGUGCCCAGUCGUGGGGGAUAACGCAGCGAAAGCUGUGCUAAUACCGCAUACGAUCUCUGGAUGAAAGCGGGGGACUCGCAAGAGCCUCGCGCGAUUGGAGCGGCCGAUAGUCAGAUUAGCUAGUUGGUGGGGUAAAACGCCCACCGAAGGCGACGAUCUGUA